RNAcentral lists this ribosomal RNA (450 nucleotides) under uncultured bacterium. RNAcentral's name for it is "partial 16S ribosomal RNA". It matches the Rfam family "Bacterial small subunit ribosomal RNA", at positions 354 to 796 of the family's 1533-position model. The record is from RNAcentral.
GUAAGGAGUUUUCGGCAAUGGGGGGAACCCUGACCGAGCAACGCCGCGUGAGUGAUGACGGCCCUAUGGGUUGUAAAGCUCUGUUAUAAGGGACGAACAGCUUUGCUAGGAAAUGAGCAGAGUCUGACGGUACUUUAUCAGAAAGCCACGGCUAACUACGUGCCAGCAGCCGCGGUAAUACGUAGGUGGCAAGCGUUAUCCGGAAUUAUUGGGCGUAAAGAGUGAGCAGGCGGCAGAUUAAGUUUGAGGUUAAAGCGUGGGGCUCAACCCCAUAAAGCCUUGAAAACUGAUCAGCUAGAGUACGAGAGAUGUGAAGGGAACUCCAUGUGUAGCGGUGAAAUGCGUAGAUAUAUGGAAGAACACCAGUGGCGAAGGCGCUUCACAAGCUCGAAACUGACGCUCAGUCACGAAAGCGUGGGUAGCGAAUAGGAUUAGAAACCCCAGUAGUCC